This 299-nucleotide signal recognition particle RNA is filed under the name Saimiri boliviensis boliviensis (Bolivian squirrel monkey). Its description in RNAcentral is "Metazoan signal recognition particle RNA (ENSSBOG00000013721.1)". It matches the Rfam family "Metazoan signal recognition particle RNA". Rfam says of the family: The signal recognition particle (SRP) is a universally conserved ribonucleoprotein. It is involved in the co-translational targeting of proteins to membranes. The eukaryotic SRP consists of a 300-nucleotide 7S RNA and six proteins: SRPs 72, 68, 54, 19, 14, and 9. Lineage: Eukaryota; Metazoa; Chordata; Mammalia; Primates; Cebidae. The record is from RNAcentral.
GCCUGGUGCAGUGGCACAUGCCUGUAGUCCCAGCUACUCGGGAGGCUGAGGUGGGAGGAUUCCUUGAGCCCAGGAGUUCUGGGCGACAGUGCGCUAUGCCAAUCGGGUGUUUGCACUAAGUUCGGCAUCAAUAUGGUGACCACCCAGGAGCGGGGGACCACCAGGUUGCCUAAGGAGGGGUGAACCAGCCCAGGUUGGAAACGGAGCAGGUCAAAACUCCCAUGCUGAUCAGUAGCAGGAUCGCACCUGUGAAUUGCUACUGCACUCCAGCCUGGGCAACAUAGCGAGACCCCGUCUCU